CAGAGAGGUACAGAUGUAGCAGGGUUAACACACAAACUCAAAUUUCUUAACUCAUCGCGUUAUCUUGAAACAAAAGCCAUUGAAAAGCAAUUGAAGGUUAACGCAGUUAGUUUAGAUAACAGGUCUGAUGAUGCAUGUGUGU
Molecule: long non-coding RNA, 142 nt
Organism: Bufo bufo (common toad)
Lineage: Eukaryota; Metazoa; Chordata; Amphibia; Anura; Bufonidae
Exons: 4
Source: RefSeq, a predicted model, not a curated record